Danio aesculapii is the source of this 388-nucleotide non-coding RNA. Lineage: Eukaryota; Metazoa; Chordata; Actinopteri; Cypriniformes; Danionidae. The record is from the annotation of a RefSeq genome assembly.
UGUGUGAAGUUCCUGUUUUUAUAACAUGACAAUGGAUAUUGUGUCCACACUGACUUUUAUCAUGUUUGCUCUAACAGAACUCUGUUGGUGUCAAACACUGACCGAGUCUGAAGCGGCGGUCAUUAAACCUGGAGGAUCUCACAGACUUACCUGUACAGUCUCUGGAUUCAGUGGUGAUCCAUAUUUGGCUUGGAUCAGACAGACUGCAGGAGGAGGUCUGGAGUGGCUGGCGUACAUCUCAGGUGGUGGUACUGCAUACUACUCUCAGUCGGUUCAGGGACGGUUCACCAUCUCCAGAGACAACAGCAAGAAACAGAUGUAUCUGCAGAUGAAUAAUAUGAAGAUUGAAGACACUGCUGUAUAUUAUUGUGCAAGAGUGUCACAGUGA